This 71-nucleotide transfer RNA is filed under the name uncultured Lachnoanaerobaculum sp. It matches the Rfam family "tRNA". From Rfam's summary of the family: Transfer RNA (tRNA) molecules are approximately 80 nucleotides in length. Their secondary structure includes four short double-helical elements and three loops (D, anti-codon, and T loops). Further hydrogen bonds mediate the characteristic L-shaped molecular structure. tRNAs have two regions of fundamental functional importance: the anti-codon, which is responsible for specific mRNA codon recognition, and the 3' end, to which the tRNAs corresponding amino acid is attached (by aminoacyl-tRNA synthetases). tRNAs cope with the degeneracy of the genetic code in two manners: having more than one tRNA (with a specific anti-codon) for a particular amino acid; and 'wobble' base-pairing, i.e. permitting non-standard base-pairing at the 3rd anti-codon position. Lineage: Bacteria; Bacillati; Bacillota; Clostridia; Lachnospirales; Lachnospiraceae. The record is from RNAcentral.
GGGGUGUAGCUCAGUUGGGAGAGCACCUGCCUUGCAAGCAGGGGGUCGAGAGUUCGAAUCUCUUCAUCUCC